This 253-nucleotide ribosomal RNA is filed under the name uncultured bacterium. Its description in RNAcentral is "partial 16S ribosomal RNA". It matches the Rfam family "Bacterial small subunit ribosomal RNA", at positions 524 to 776 of the family's 1533-position model. The record is from RNAcentral.
UACGAAGGGGGCUAGCGUUGCUCGGAAUCACUGGGCGUAAAGCGCACGUAGGCGGACUCUUAAGUCAGGGGUGAAAUCCUGGAGCUCAACUCCAGAACUGCCCUUGAUACUGGGAGCCUUGAGUUCGGGAGAGGUGAGUGGAACUGCGAGUGUAGAGGUGAAAUUCGCAGAUAUUCGCAAGAACACCAGUGGCGAAGGCGGCUCACUGGCCCGAUACUGACGCUGAGGUGCGAAAGCGUGGGGAGCAAACAGG